GUUGCCCCUUGAGGCGUUGCAGUACGACCUGUGUCGCUCCUGUGUCAUAAGGUGGCAUAUAAUAAAGGUCUGUGUUUACGCCUAGUUCCCUCCUGUGGGUUCUCAGUGUCUUUAUAGUCCUACAAA
Small nucleolar RNA from Trichomycterus rosablanca, 126 nucleotides. RefSeq annotates it as small nucleolar RNA SNORA17. The transcript has a single exon. NCBI's taxonomy places the organism in Eukaryota, Metazoa, Chordata, Actinopteri, Siluriformes, Trichomycteridae. The record is from RefSeq and is a predicted model, not a curated record.